UUGCAUAUUCCAAAAGCGGAGGAAAAGAAACCAACAGGGAUUGCCUUAGUAACGGCGAGUGAAGCGGCAAUAGCUCAAAUUUGAAAUCUGGCGCUUGCGUCCGAGUUGUAAUUUGCAGAGGAUGAUUUUGGUUAGGUACCUUCCGAGUUCCUUGGAACAGGACGCCUUAGAGGGUGAGAGCCCCGUACGGUUGGAUGCCGAGCCUUUGUAAAUCUCCUUCGACGAGUCGAGUAGUUUGGGAAUGCUGCUCUAAAUGGGAGGUAAAUUUCUUCUAAAGCUAAAUACCGGCCAGAGACCGAUAGCGCACAAGUAGAGUGAUCGAAAGAUGAAAAGCACUUUGAAAAGAGGGUUAAAUAGCACGUGAAAUUGUUGAAAGGGAAGGAUUUAUGACCAGACUUUUUCUAGGAGGAUCAUCCGGUGUUCUCACCGGUGCACUUCUUCUAGUCUAGGCCAGCAUCGACUUUCGGCGGUGGAUAAAAGCUUUGGGAAUGUGACUCCUUUCGGGGAGUGUUAUAGCCUAUUGUAUAAUACACUGCUGGGGGUCGAGGUACGCGCUUCUGCAAGGAUGCUGGCGUAAUGGUUAUCAAUCACCCGUCUUGACCCACGGGACCAUACGU
This 617-nucleotide ribosomal RNA is filed under the name Truncatella angustata. RNAcentral describes it as "partial large subunit ribosomal RNA". It matches the Rfam family "Eukaryotic large subunit ribosomal RNA", at positions 35 to 664 of the family's 3401-position model. Lineage: Eukaryota; Fungi; Ascomycota; Sordariomycetes; Amphisphaeriales; Sporocadaceae. The record is from RNAcentral.